Non-coding RNA from Schistosoma rodhaini, 45 nucleotides. NCBI's taxonomy places the organism in Eukaryota, Metazoa, Platyhelminthes, Trematoda, Strigeidida, Schistosomatidae. The record is from Rfam.
AUCCAGCUGACGAGUCCCAAAUAGGACGAAUCGCGCGUCCUGCAU